Molecule: long non-coding RNA, 252 nt
Organism: Nematolebias whitei (Rio pearlfish)
Lineage: Eukaryota; Metazoa; Chordata; Actinopteri; Cyprinodontiformes; Rivulidae
Exons: 3
Source: RefSeq, a predicted model, not a curated record
GGAAUCCAGCAAGGAAAAUUAAAGUGCAGAAGGUUCCACCUGCAGAGGAAGGAGUUAAACCGACCCCCACCACCACAUCAGCGGUUAACAGCACAGACUCCAGAGCCAGCUCAGGUGGUCUUCUCCCAAGUCUGACGGGUCAAAAUGCCAGGAAGUCCCUUUCACCGCCGAACAAAAAGAGCAACAAAAGAGUGUGCUUUUGGAAGUACUGUUCUCAGAACUGACUGCCGUCCAGAACAACGCCGGCGUUCC